Oryctolagus cuniculus (rabbit) is the source of this 801-nucleotide long non-coding RNA. RefSeq lists it as uncharacterized. The record is from RefSeq and is a predicted model, not a curated record. NCBI's taxonomy places the organism in Eukaryota, Metazoa, Chordata, Mammalia, Lagomorpha, Leporidae.
CGGUGACGCCCUGCGGCCGUUACUGCUUGGAGCUCUCUGGGAGAGGAGGUGAGACCGAAAGCGGAAGUCCUCGAGAGCUACCUGGUUUGGAUGAAUGGAGAAAGACCGAGGCCUCCAGCUCAGAGGGCCCUCCCAGAGAGUCACACAGCGGAUGCUUGGGGGAGAAAAUGUCAUCGAUUUCUGGCUGUUGGAGACCCAGCGCUCCCCGCCCCCGGGUUGAAGACACCGAGGCAGUGUCAGGAUUGUUCCAGCGGUUGGGAUGGGAACAAAGUGCCCAGUCUUGGUCCCGGCCAGGCCUCACCAUGCCUUGGACUUAAGCGAUCCCUCUUUGGCCCUCGUUGGCCCAUGCCUUGUGCUCUCAAAGUGUGUCCUAGACCUUGUGCUAUUAAUUAUGAAUGUCAGUUGCCUUAAGAUUUGCCCAGCUCCUAUGUCGGCAAAGCGUCACUUGAAAUCACUAGUUACUCUGUGACUAGAAGCUCUGUAACCUAACAAGUAAGCUUGUAAUUCCUCCAUAAAAUGUCCACGCUGCCCUUCUCUCCAAUACACGCCACUCUUGGGCAUAGGAUUUAAUGUAAGUCAACCUCAGCCCCUCACUGUGAAACAAACCAGUGCAUACUGGGAGUCUCCUUAAAUUUCCUGUUGCCCCACACCAAAAAGGGUAGUGUAGUAAAAUUUGCCUCUCAGUUAUACUGUCACCUGGACAUUAAUAAAUCCCCUGUAAAAGCCCCUAGCUGAUGACGCUCUUUCACUGAUAAUACAUGAAGGUGGUCCUAAAUUAAUUAAACUGACAAACAGUGCCAA